Molecule: ribosomal RNA, 354 nt
Filed under: Triticum aestivum (bread wheat)
Lineage: Eukaryota; Viridiplantae; Streptophyta; Magnoliopsida; Poales; Poaceae
Description: partial small subunit ribosomal RNA
Source: RNAcentral
GGUGAUGUCAUUUCGGUGAACCAAAGUGCGUUCGUCCCUGGAAGGCUAAUUACAGACAAUGCCCUCGUGGCCUUUGAGUGCUUUCACUUCAUCGAACAGAACACAAACCCAGGGAAGAACUUCUGUGCAUACAAAAUUGACUUGUCAAAAGCUUAUGAUCGAGUGGACCGGGGUUUCUUUGAAAAGGCGAUGAAAGGCUUAGGUUUCUCUCACCGGUGGAUCGGCUGGAUCAUGUCAUGUGUGACCACAGUGAGCUACUCUGUCAAAUUCAAUGGAACCUUGCUGGAUUCGUUUACCCCGUCCCGUGGCCUCCGCCAAGGCGAUCCCUUGUCGCCUUUCUUGUUUUUGUUAGUU